GAAAGUAAAGAUUAUGAGUCAUUUCUUGUAGAAUUCUCAAAUAUCCUGAUGUAUUUCCCAAAAUGUCUAAAUAUUAAUAUAUAAGAAAGUGAAAAUAAUAGAAGUUAACUGAAAAUACUUGAACUGUUUUUGCAAUAGGAAUGUAUCUCAAUCCUUUGGAGAGUCUUCUAGAGAUUGAAAGGCAUUUUUAAUUAUUUAUUCUACAUUGGCUAAAGCAUAUUCUAAUAGAUUUUAGGAUUUAAAUAGCUUAAAUAUAAUGGUAAAUUAGUCAAGUUGGGAAAUGGUAAGUCACUUUCCAACAUUAAAAACCAAGAAAAAUUAAUCCCCGUCUUUGUUUAGUAAAGCUGUAGCCUCUUUGAUCCUUGGAUACUUCCAUUUGAAAGACUGGAGGUUCAAAAAAGGGACUUGCAGGAAGUUGGGGAAGGGGUUAUUACAAAAUCUUUACACUCAUCAAAAAUCCCAUUGUGUACACGGCUGUGCACACAUACACACACACACACACACAUAGAUAUGCACACACACACAAUAGAAAGGCUUUUGUUUCCCUGUAGGAUGAAAAUGUAAAUAAUGAUUGGCUAAAUAAAAUAUAUUAGGGAAGCAAUAAAAGUGGUAGGAACUGAGUGCUGGUCCUAUCUAAAGGGAAGGACUCUAAACAGUGCCAAUUUAUUGUUACAAAUUUAGUAAUUUUUCAAAAAAUACAUUUGGAAAUAUGAAAUUUUAUGUAAAUAUACCCAAGUUUAAAAUGUCCACAACUUAUUCAAUUUUUACUCUUUAUGCAGGAAAAGCAGCACAUGAACUGGCUGAAUUUGGUCACUGGCUUCCAAUGUUCCGCCUGCUGUAUUGUGCCCUUAGGUAUUCUUGGAAUUGUGUACAUGUGAAUAUCUUUUUUUAUUUCUUUCACAGAUCUUGUAGUCAUUUAUUUGACUAAUUGAUACUUUAGAUAAGCUGUGAAGGGAAGAGUAAUAUUCCCUUCAUGAAACGAAACUGGAAUGUAGGACUUGUAUGUUCCAAAAGGAGAUUGAAAGUAAAGGUGGUUGGCUUUCUAGACCUUCAUCCAGAGAACUUACAUCAUUAACAAAGGUAUUUGGCUAAAAGUUUAUUCAUGUUCAAUCUAUCAAUACUAUUCACAUUGCCUAUAUCACUGCACUGUCACGUCUUCAGCAGCUAGUGUCUAAGUUAAUGAAUGGACAGAAAACUUAGGAUUCAAAUAUGAGAAUUCUCAAUUAAGAUUGAAUCUCAUUUUGAUAAAGAAAAACAGAAUAAAACCAGUAUUUCAAAUAGAAAGAUCACACUACUGGACUCCAACCUGGGCAACAGAGUGAGAGCCUGUUUCAAAAUAAACAUAAUUAAAUAAAAAUUAGUAUUCAAAUAGUUGACUAUAAAUAUUGUUUUUUUAAAUUUGUUUAACUUUUAAAAAUAUAGGGUUUUUUUUU
RNAcentral lists this long non-coding RNA (1433 nucleotides) under Homo sapiens (human). RNAcentral's name for it is "HSALNT0308653". The record is from RNAcentral. Lineage: Eukaryota; Metazoa; Chordata; Mammalia; Primates; Hominidae.